CGGGUGCACUGAUCCAGCCGGGCCUUUCCCUCUGUGGAACCCCAUGGCCUUCACUGGCUGUGGUGGGGAAACAGGACUUUUACUUUGGAAAAAUUAGAGUGCUCCAGGCAGGCCUAUGCUCGAAUACAUUAGCAUGGAAUAAUAGAAUAGGACGUGUGGUUCUAUUUUGUUGGUUUCUAGGACCGCCGUAAUGAUUAAUAGGGACAGUCGGGGGCAUCAGUAUUCAAUUGUCAGAGGUGAAAUUCUUGGAUCUAUUGAAGACUAACUACUGCGAAAGCAUUUGCCAAGGAUGUUUUCAUUGAUAAGGAACGAAAGUUAGGGGAUCGAAGACGAUCAGAUACCGUCGUAGUCUUAACUAUAAACUAUGCCGACUAGGGAUCGGACGAUGUUAUUCUUUGACGCGUUCGGCACCUUUCGAGAAAUCAAAGUGCUUGGGCUCCAGGGGGAGUAUGGUCGCAAGGCUGAAACUUAAAGAAAUUGACGGAAGGGCACCACCAGGGGUGGAACCUGCGGCUUAAUUUGACUCAACACGGGGAAACUCACCAGGUCCAGACACAGUGAGGAUUGACAGAUUGAGAGCUCUUUCUUGAUUCUGUGGGUGGUGGUGCAUGGCCGUUCUUAGUUGGUGGAGUGAUUUGUCUGCUUAAUUGCGAUAACGAACGAGACCUUAACCUGCUAAAUAGCCCGUACUGCUUUGGCAGUUCGCCGGCUUCUUAGAGGGACUAUCGG
RNAcentral lists this ribosomal RNA (729 nucleotides) under uncultured eukaryote. Its description in RNAcentral is "SSU rRNA". It matches the Rfam family "Eukaryotic small subunit ribosomal RNA", at positions 670 to 1426 of the family's 1831-position model. The record is from RNAcentral.